RNAcentral lists this ribosomal RNA (306 nucleotides) under uncultured Clostridium sp. RNAcentral describes it as "bacterial SSU rRNA". It matches the Rfam family "Bacterial small subunit ribosomal RNA", at positions 62 to 349 of the family's 1533-position model. The record is from RNAcentral. Lineage: Bacteria; Bacillati; Bacillota; Clostridia; Eubacteriales; Clostridiaceae.
UCGAGCGAGCAGAACCAGCAGAUUUACUUCGGUAAUGACGCUGGGGACGCGAGCGGCGGACGGGUGAGUAACGCGUGGGUAACCUGCCCCAUACAGGGGGAUAACAGCUGGAAACGGCUGCUAAUACCGCAUAAGCGCACAGUGCUGCAUGGCACCGUGUGAAAAACUGAGGUGGUAUGGGAUGGGCCCGCGUCUGAUUAGGUAGUUGGUGCGGUAACGGCGCACCAAGCCCGCGAUCAGUAGCCGACCUGAGAGGGUGACCGGCCACAUUGGGACUGAGACACGGCCCAAACUCCUACGGGAGGC